UUUUACGGAGAGUUUGAUCCUGGCUCAGGAUGAACGCUGGCGGCGUGCUUAACACAUGCAAGUCGAACGGUGAAGGAGAGCUUGCUCUCUGGAUCAGUGGCGAACGGGUGAGUAACACGUGAGCAAUCUGCCCCUGACUCUGGGAUAAGCGCUGGAAACGGCGUCUAAUACCGGAUACGAGCUGCGAAGGCAUCUUCAGCAGCUGGAAAGAACUUCGGUCAGGGAUGAGCUCGCGGCCUAUCAGCUAGUUGGUGAGGUAACGGCUCACCAAGGCGUCGACGGGUAGCCGGCCUGAGAGGGUGACCGGCCACACUGGGACUGAGACACGGCCCAGACUCCUACG
RNAcentral lists this ribosomal RNA (343 nucleotides) under Microbacterium sp. 70-38. Its description in RNAcentral is "bacterial SSU rRNA". It matches the Rfam family "Bacterial small subunit ribosomal RNA", at positions 1 to 343 of the family's 1533-position model. The record is from RNAcentral. Lineage: Bacteria; Bacillati; Actinomycetota; Actinomycetes; Micrococcales; Microbacteriaceae.